UACGUAGGGUGCAAGCGUUAAUCGGAAUUACUGGGCGUAAAGCGUGCGCAGGCGGUUUGUUAAGUCAGCUGUGAAAUCCCCGGGCUCAACCUGGGAAUGGCAGUUGAGACUGGCAGGCUGGAGUGUGUCAGAGGGGGGUAGAAUUCCACGUGUAGCAGUGAAAUGCGUAGAGAUGUGGAGGAAUACCGAUGGCGAAGGCAGCCCCCUGGGAUAACACUGACGCUCAUGCACGAAAGCGUGGGGAGCAAACAGG
This 253-nucleotide ribosomal RNA is filed under the name uncultured bacterium. Its description in RNAcentral is "partial 16S ribosomal RNA". It matches the Rfam family "Bacterial small subunit ribosomal RNA", at positions 524 to 776 of the family's 1533-position model. The record is from RNAcentral.